AAAGCACUUGCAACUAUGACAUCAUGUCACUCAUGCUAGGAAUUGAACUUAACGCGAUUGUGACUAGCAACCUUUACUACAUAUGAAUAUAAGUUUGUAACGAUUAUGUGAAACAUCCUUAUACUCUAGCAUCAGAUUUAUGCAUGCCAAUCAAGUGUCGACCCCUAAUUAACAAACACAAAUAAGUUAUUAAUCAAAUAGUUAAACCAAUUGCAUUCACGAUUCAAGAAUUCAUAACUGGAAUUUAUCAAAUCAAAUUGCACACAUAGUCAUGGCUUUGAAAUCACCCCUAACCAAUAGGGGUUUAGCCACUCAUGUUCAUAGCAAAACGAAAAGAAAAAAAAUUACACAUUGAAAUCAUAGAACGAAUUACACCUAGAAUGCACCAACAAUGAAGCUUGGACAUCCAAGGGUCCUUUCUUCUUCCUUCUUGCUGCAGCACACAAGUGGGUGAGUGUAUGGAUUGUGUUUAGGCUCAGAAGUUAUGGAGAUUGGUGAAGGAUGGGCACGGCAAAGGGAGGUUGGAUGGUUUCUGCAUGAAUGGGAGUGAAUGAAUUGUUAUGGAUGGAUAUAGGUUGGUUAUCGUGAAGGGUGGAGUCCUUAGAAUGGUCAGAAAGGGGUCUUAUUUAUAGGGAAAGGAAGGGCUACGAAUUUAUUAAAUUUGGAAUCAGAAAUCAAUGGAAAAUAGGCAAGAAAGGUGCAGAAAUUAAAGAGAAUGUGAAAGGAAAUUCGAAAGAGAGUGUAGGACAGAUUUAGGGAUGUGUUUUGAGGCACAAAAUAGGUAAGAAUCCUCUCCCCUUGUGCAGCAAGAAUUGAAACAAAAGGGAAUGUAAUUUUGGGUCAGAAAUAGGUAAGAAAGAAUCAAAAAUUAAAGAGAAAUAGGUAACAAAGAUGUGGCACAAUAUAGGAAAGGUACUUAAGGUCAGAAAUUAAAAGGGAAAGAGGAUGUAUGGUGCGGCAAGGGACAAGGGAGAAAGGGAAAUGUGUUUUUGGUUCAGAAAUUAGGGAAACAUGGCAAGUGAAAUUGUUGCACAAGAGGAGACAAGGAGGAAACACAAAGGGGACAAGGCGCCACCUUUGUAGGAGGUGCUGAAAUUGUGUCUUCUAAGCUUCCAAACUGACUUCUAACAUCCUUUAGGCCUUCAAUUUCGUCAAUCAAUAUUACUCCAAGCAUAAGCUAUUCAAUUCAUGCCAAAAACUGCUCCAAAAGGCUCCAAAAUGCAUCUUUUUGUAUACUUUGUCCUUAGAACCUGAAAUUGCACGAAAAUAGCUUAAAAUACUAAAAUUACUAAGUACUAGCAACGUAAAUGCAAGGAAACAAGCUAAUUAAGUCGCAUAAAUAUGCUCCUAUCAAAUUCCCCCUCACUUAGCUUUUGCUAGUCCUCGAGCAAAACAAAACAAAACAAAGCACAACCUAGACCUUCCAACAAUUGUCUUAGGGAUUUCCAAUGCAUAUGACAUGCUAAAAAUCAUUACUUACACAUAUUUUAGUCAUCCUUACCCUCGAGCACAUACUUAAUCGUAGUCACCAUUCACUAGUUCGCAUAUAAUCCAUUAAAACAACGUUUUUGAAUGUAGUAACAUGCCUUAAAGAAUUCCCUCAAUUACUUACUAGAUAUGCACUCAAUUUUCACUCAGAUUUUCUGACUACACACCCUACACUAGGUAUAUGUGAGAAGAUUGAUGUAAACAUGUAAACUAGUACUCACAUAUGUUAUAGCAAAGAAAGGACUUUUCUGGAAUUAUUAAUGCAUGUAUAUAUAUGAUCUCAUGAACGGAAUGCUACUACUUAGAAGCGAGAACCAGUGAUAUCAUAUGCUCAUACCAAUUCCAAACUCCACAUAUUGAAAUACACAACACUCAAGAUAGAAGUCUAAGGGUUGUAACGGGGCUAAAGGUAUUGGCUAACAAAGAAAGGUAAGGAAAAACAAACGUUCUUAAAGAAAUAGUAAGCAAAUUAAAGAAAUAGUAAGCAAGGUAAUGAAAUUGACACUUAGAAUUACUUUUGAAUGCAAAAAUCAACUUUUAAACACAAGGGAAGAUUCAUGCAACACUUAGGGUCAAAUUCAAACUUUUGGACCCUUUCUUCAACAACCAACACAUGUGAGUUCAUUCUCACUUAUUUUUCAACUCUUUUUCAUACUUUUCACACACUUUUCUUCUUCUUUUUCUUUUUCCACGAAAUUUUUUUUUAUUUUUUUUUAUGCCCUUUUCUUUCUUUUGACACACAAAACACACUUUGAAAACCCUUCCCCCACACUUGUUUUUCUGCAAAAAUCAAAGGGAAUUCCCUCUAAGUCAUGCUUCACUAUUCUUUAAGAACAAGGGUGUGGACAGUCCUAAUCUAGGCUAGGUAGGGAUAAUGUGGUUAACAAAGAAAAUAGGCUAACGAAGGCUCAAAGGGGUUAAACCUACAAAACAUAUGACAAGGGUGGAUUUGGCUAUUUGGCUUUGGUGGUAACUAAACAACUUCAUCUUGAAUAUGUGUUAUGCAAAUCAAUAACAUGCUUUGAAUGGAAGGGGCAUGAGUUCUAGUAUUUGGAUCUAUAAUGAUGAAACGCAUUCUAAGUAGCGACCAAGCAAAGAAUGAUGAGAUCAUGCAAUGACUUUAGAAAACAAGAAUGCACAGAUUAAUAACUCUCCAAAUAACGUUUAGGCUCAAGUCUCACAGGGUUGUAGCGUUAAUUUGAGUUCCUUCCUUCAAGCAUGUUACAAAAACUAAUUUUUUUUUCUUUUGUGAUUGCAUGCGAAUUCGUAAACUAUAACUACAACCAAGCAUAAACCAAAGAGCAUAUCAAACUUCCAUCCAUGUUUGUAACUUUCUUUAACAGUCAUGUAAUUAAAAACCAAAUCCUCAUCAUUGUGUUGGAAUGUACCCUAAGACACAAACAAACACACAAAAACAACUCUUUUUGGCUUUUUCAAAACAAUUUUUCAAAUUUUUAUCAAAUUUUCGGAUUUUUACUUCAACACACACCAAACAGCUCAAAAUGCACUAAAAACACUUAAAAACAGUGAGAAACAGCUUUAGAGGGGAUAGGUAAUAAAACCCACGAAUUUGCAUCAAAAUACUUUGUUAUCCCCCCACACUUAAAUCAAACAUUGUCUCAAUGUUUUAAGCAUAAACUCACAGAAAGCAAACAAACAAACAAAAAACAACUAAUUUUGAUAAAAUAAAGGCAGCAAAGAUAAGGGUUUAGGAACGCAAAUCUGAGUGUGGAGUGAAAGUUCCAUCGUUCCUAAGUUGAAUGCAUGGGUUGCCUCCCAAGAAGCGCUUGCUUUAACGUCUUGCAGCCGGAUGAAGACCUCCAAUUAAGCUCCAUUGGUGGCCAGGGCAUGGAAUUGAUCUUUGAAUGGACGGUGAUACUUUAAAUGAUCCGGCAAUGGUUUAAAUUCUAACGUGGGUGCCUGAAUCAUCAAAAUCAACAUGUUAGUAGAAAACGUAUUUGAAAUUGGAGAAAAUAUCUUACCUUUUUGCUCCGAUAAGAACUCAAGGACGAACACCACUUCUUUGAAUGUUUCAGGGACUUUGAAUUUGGCCAGAUUUACUACGAUGGUUGUGAUCUAUCCCGUGUCAUCAAACUCAACUUCUUUGGGCUUUGUUGUUUCAAAUACGUCCUCUUUGAUGAAUUAUUGACAUUCUCCAACCACUUCUUUUUCUUGAAUCCUUCUUUUUGAUGUACAAAGUUCUUCAAACAAUUCAACACAAUCUGAAACUUGGUUUGCUGUACCAAGAAUUUGGAUAUCACUUUGCACCUUGGGAAGAGCUUCCACAAUGUCUUUUUCACUCUCUUCUUGCUUGGGAAUCAAAAACCUGCGAGGAAAAGGGACAUUGGGUGGAAUAAGGUUAGAAUUAACGAAAAUUGGACCCAACUUACCUGUAUUGGACAGUGGUGGAGCAUUGGGAGGCUGCGGCAAGGGUAGGCUGCGGCAAGGGUGGUUCUUCCCUUGCCGUGGCCUUGUCAUCCUCUUCUUCUUUGAACAAUAGCUGUUCAUCCAUGUUUUGGAUUGGUUUGGACGUUUUUGGGCUUGUUCCAACCUCCAUGCCACUUUCCAAAGUGAUAGCAUCUUGGAUUUCAAAAUUUUCCUUCAAAUUUUCUAUAGUUGAGUUGGAGAGUUCACUUUGCUCUUGAAUUUGUGCCAUGAACUCCAUAAUCUGCCCAAUUUGCUCCUCCAAUUUGCCCGUCUUCGUGGCUUGAUUUUGCAUCUCUUUGUUUUGAUUUUCUACUUCCUGAUUCAAAGAGGUGAGUAACUUAUUCAACAUAUCAUUAUCCAGAGAUGUACCUGAAUUGAAUUGGGCAGAUUGUUGUGGUGGCUGUGAUGGUGCAUAUGGCCAUUGAUAGAACUCUUCUUGCUGCCAAUAUCCACCAUGUUGGAAUUGUUGAGGUUCUCCCCACAUGUAAUCUGAAUAAUCUCUCCAAUCCGAAUUGUAAGCGUUGGAAAACAUGUUGUCCCAUGAUUGGCUAUGGCAUUGAUAACCCCAAGCAUCUUCAUUUGCAGCGAAUUGAGAACAUUGAUGAGUUGGAUAUCCUUGCCCAUAGGACACACCACAUGUAGGGACACUUUGCAUUGUGGUCCUUCCGGCAAUCUGUGACAAUUGAGAAGUAAGAUUCGCCAAUUGAGCUUGAAUGUUAGCAAAAUCCAUGUCUUACUUCUCUAGUACCUGAAAUCAAAGAAACAAAACUAAAUCAAAUAUCAAAAGUAAAUAAAACAAAGCAAAACAAAAUCAGUAACUAAAACAAAAGACACAAAAAAGAAAUAAAAAUAAACAACGGGGGAUUAGCAAAGUUGCUAAUCCCCGGCAACGGCGCCAAAAAUUUGAUGCGAAAUAUAUAAGCACACAAAUUAAACCCUCUUUUUAUCAAUUGUAGCAAAGUAUGUAAGUAGGGAUCAUUCUAAACCGGGGAUUAUGAGGGAUUGCUAAACUCUUGAAAACUGACUUAAAAACGUAAAAACAAAGUUUAACACACUAAACUAGACUCAAAGAAUGCAAAACUAAAAUUUAAAACACUAAAACAAACCAAAAGACUCAAAACAGCAACCAAACACUCAAAACUGCCUUAAAAACACUUUCUGGACAGUUUUGAACACAAACACAAAUUUUGACGAAAUUGGGUUACAACUUGAAUCAAAGCACUUAAAAACACAAACUAAAUGGAUUUCUAACUAAUCUAACACUUUAAAAUAAAGGGGGAUUUGGUUUUGACGAAAUUGAAAACAAGACAAAACGUUGUAAUUAAAACAGAUUGUAAAACGAAUUUGGAGUUUAAAUGGAUGAUGGAUUAGUUAGAGGCUCUUUCUCCACACAUGACACGUAUGCAAACGACUCGAUUUCCAGUUAUUCCUUCAUAGAAUUAUGAACGACAGUGCCUCAAAUUAACCGUGACAUCACUAGCUAACUCUCAGAUUUUCCUUGUAUUAUUGGAUUGGAUGGCAUCAUUCACAACAACCAAAGCAGCAUUCUUCAAAGGUCCCCUACAUGACAUCAUAUAAUAGAGAUACGAUCAAAGAUCAUUACGUUCAAUGAAAACCAUAAGCAAUGACAAAGCACUUGCAACUAUGACAUCAUGUCACUCAUGCUAGGAAUUGAACUUAACGCGAUUGUGACUAGCAACCUUUACUACAUAUGAAUAUAAGUUUGUAACGAUUAUGUGAAACAUCCUUAUACUCUAGCAUCAGAUUUAUGCAUGCCAAUCAAGUGUCGACCCCUAAUUAACAAACACAAAUAAGUUAUUAAUCAAAUAGCUAAACCAAUUGCAUUCACGAUUCAAGAAUUCAUAACUGGAAUUUAUCAAAUCAAAUUGCACACAUAGUCAUGGCUUUGAAAUCACCCCUAACCAAUAGGGGUUUAGCCACUCAUGUUCAUAGCAAAACGAAAAGAAAAGAAAUUACACAUUGAAAUCAUAGAACGAAUUACACCUAGAAUGCACCAACAAUGAAGCUUGGACAUCCAGGGGUCCUUUCUUCUUCCUUCUUGCUGCAGCACACAAGUGGGUGAGUGUAUGGAUUGUGUUUAGGGUCAAAAGUUAUGGAGAUUGGUGAAGGAUGGGCACGGCAAAGGGAGGUUGGAUGGUUUCUGCAUGAAUGGGAGUGAAUGAAUUGUUGUGGAUGGAUAUAGGUUGGUUAUCGUGAAGGGUGGAGUCCUUAGAAUGGUCAGAAAUGGGUCUUAUUUAUAGGGAAAGGAAAGGCUACGAAUUUAUUAAAUUUGGAAUCAGAAAUCAAUGGAAAAUAGGCAAGAAAGGUGCAGAAAUUAAAGAGAAUAUGAAAGGAAAUUCGGAAGAGAGUGUAGGACAGAUUUAGGAAUGUGUUUUGAGGCAUAAAAUAGGUAAGAAUCCUCUCCCCUUCUGCAGCAAGAAUUGAAACAAAAGGGAAUGUAAUUUUGGAUCAGAAAUAGGUAAGAAAGAAUCAGAAAUUAAAGAGAAAUAGGUAACAAAGAUGUGGCACAAUAUAGGAAAGGUACUUAAGGUCAGAAAUUAAAAGGGAAAGAGGAUGUAUGGUGCGGCAAGGGACAAGGGAGAAAGGGAAAUGUGUUUUUGGUUCUGAAAUUAGGGAAACAUGGCAAGGGAAAUUGUUGCACAAAAGGAGACAAGGAGGAAACACAAAGGGGACAAGGCGCCACCUUUGUAGGAGGUGCUGAAAUUGUGUCUUAUAAGCUUCCAAACUGACUUCUAACAUCCUUUAGGCCUUCAAUUUCGUCAAUCAAUAUUACUCCAAGCAUAAGCUAUUCAAUUCAUGCCCAAAACUGCUCCAAAAGGCUCCAAAAUGCAUCUUUUUGCAUACUUUGUCCUUAGAACCUGAAAUUGCACGAAAAUAGCUUAAAAUACUAAAAUUACUAAGUACUAGCAACGUAAAUGCAAGGAAACAAGCUAAAUAAGUCGCAUAAAUAUGCUCCUAUCAAUCACUUUCCUUUAGCUUGAGAGGGUGUGUUAAGAGUACAUCCUCACAUAGAAUCAAUGUAUCAAAACCACCACCAG
RNAcentral lists this long non-coding RNA (6974 nucleotides) under Malus domestica (apple). RNAcentral describes it as "long non-coding RNA (MDOM_LNC016748)". The record is from RNAcentral. Lineage: Eukaryota; Viridiplantae; Streptophyta; Magnoliopsida; Rosales; Rosaceae.